UAGUCCACGCCCUAAACGAUGUGUGCUAGUUGUCGGGAUCUUUAGAUUUCGGUGACGCAGCUAACGCUUUAAGCACACCGCCUGGGGAGUACGGUCGCAAGAUUAAAACUCAAAGGAAUUGACGGGGACCCGCACAAGCGGUGGAGCAUGUUGUUUAAUUCGAAGCAACGCGAAGAACCUUACCCACACUUGACAUCCCUCUUGGGGCUUUCAGAGAUGAUUGCUUUCGGUUCGGCCGGGGAGGAGAC
Molecule: ribosomal RNA, 248 nt
Filed under: uncultured bacterium
Lineage: Bacteria
Description: partial 16S ribosomal RNA
Rfam family: Bacterial small subunit ribosomal RNA
Source: RNAcentral